GGGGUGUUGGACAAGCGGUUUAAGUUAUAGCCCUUUCACGGCUACGAGAUGGGUUCGAUUCCCAUACACCCUA
This 73-nucleotide transfer RNA is filed under the name Fusicatenibacter saccharivorans. RNAcentral's name for it is "tRNA-Glu". It matches the Rfam family "tRNA". From Rfam's summary of the family: Transfer RNA (tRNA) molecules are approximately 80 nucleotides in length. RNAcentral also lists the same sequence under 3 other names. The record is from RNAcentral. Lineage: Bacteria; Bacillati; Bacillota; Clostridia; Lachnospirales; Lachnospiraceae.